UGAAAGCUGAUAUAUAAUUGAGAUUCUAAUUCUACUAUCAUCUUCACAAGUAAUCAAAUCAAAAGCACGGGUUCCCCAAUUAGUGUUCACGGUUGGUCCAUAAAAUUCUAGAGAACGAAGCACAAAAAAAGAAGGAAUAUAUACACUAAUGACAGGGACACUUGCACAACAGAAUCAACAAUGCGAGGAAUGGGGAUGUUUCUGGCAAGAUCAAGCCCAACACUACUUGUGUCUGCGAAAAAGGUCUUUUGUUUGAGCAUUUUUGAAGGCACUGCAGGCUAAGAGAUAGACACAUAUAAGCACCACCACUGCCACAAUAAGAAUGAUAUUUGCUUUUCUCCAUUCUUUCCUCAGGUUCCCUAACAAACCAGCUUUGCAA
RNAcentral lists this unclassified non-coding RNA (379 nucleotides) under Hevea brasiliensis (rubber tree). Lineage: Eukaryota; Viridiplantae; Streptophyta; Magnoliopsida; Malpighiales; Euphorbiaceae. The record is from RNAcentral.